AGCAGCCGCGGUAAUUCCAGCUCCAAUAGCGUAUAUUAAAGUUGUUGCAGUUAAAAAGCUCGUAGUUGAAUUUCGGGACCAAUCUGCCGGUCGUGCCUCCGGUACGCACUGGUUUUAUUGGUCUCUCCCUUCUGACGAACCAUGAUGUCAUUAAUUUGGUGUCAUGGGGAAUCAGGACUGUUACUUUGAAAAAAUUAGAGUGUUUAUAGCAGGCUCACGCCUGAAUACAUUAGCAUGGAAUAAUGAAAUAGGACGUUUGACCCUAUUUUGUUGGUUUCUAGGAUCGACGUAAUGAUUAAUAGGGAUAGUUGGGGGCAUUAGUAUUCAAUUGUCAGAGGUGAAAUUCUUGGAUUUAUUGAAGACUAACUACUGCGAAAGCAUUUGCCAAGGAUGUUUUCAUUAAUCAAGAACGAAAGUUAGGGGAUCGAAGACGAUCAGAUACCGUCGUAGUCUUAACCAUAAACUAUGCCGACUAGGGAUCGGAUGAUGUUAAUUUUUU
This 499-nucleotide ribosomal RNA is filed under the name uncultured Glomus. Its description in RNAcentral is "SSU rRNA". It matches the Rfam family "Eukaryotic small subunit ribosomal RNA", at positions 569 to 1072 of the family's 1831-position model. Lineage: Eukaryota; Fungi; Glomeromycota; Glomeromycetes; Glomerales; Glomeraceae. The record is from RNAcentral.